GUUUCAUCGGACCGCUCUGCCGAUCUCUCGGCGUGGAGGAAACGUAAACAAAGAAAAUGUACUCUCUUGUCCAUUUUUUGGCGGAAAAUGAUGUCGCAGUUGUCCCUACCUGUUGGGUGUGCAAUGGCUGCACGGCAUGGCCACCCUACAAAUCAAAUCGGUUGAUGAUGGCAAUUAGAGAGCGUGAAGAGCCCUCGACUGACUGGGCCACAUUCUCCUGUCAGGUGAUGGCAUCAUGUUUGACAUAUGAAGAUGCAAAGUACAAAGAAAAAAAAUUCGGAAGCGACGUCCGACCUAACAUUGAAUAAUGAAGAGCGGGAGAAGAGAAAAAGGAAGAGACUGCAGCAUACUCUUUCUUCAUUUGAGGAUGAGGACUUCUAUGACCAAGAUGAACGACGUAACACUCAGCCAGCCCCUCAACUUCCAGAACGUGCACCAGAGCCCAAGCAAAAACGCACACGUGAGCUGUGCGCACCUGCCUUAAACAGAAGGCAGAAAACAAUGAGCCAGCCAUCAUCGUGCAGGAAGCCGACGCCAAAUGGGCUGCUGCUGAAUCGGUCAGGCAUGCACCAGCUAGGACCAAGAAAAUG
Molecule: long non-coding RNA, 590 nt
Filed under: Ixodes scapularis (black-legged tick)
Lineage: Eukaryota; Metazoa; Arthropoda; Arachnida; Ixodida; Ixodidae
Description: uncharacterized LOC115313842, transcript variant X2
Source: RNAcentral